AGAUCGAACACAGUUUUACAGUGAAAAAUGCAUGAACAUCAAACGGGCAAUGGGAAACAAACUAAGAAAUCAGAAUAAGUCUUUCUACUGCAUCCCAUUCCCUUUAUGCUACAUGAACGAACGUCGCUCCACAUGAUCAAUUCUGAGAGUUAAGUAUGUGUGAAAGACAUCAAUCACCCAGCUUGUUGUGAAAACACAGUUUGUUUUAAGUGGGAAACAACAUUACAUACAUAUAUAUGGGGAGGUAGUAGCUCCAACACGGAUUUACAGUGAAAACUGCAGGAACUUCAAACCAGCACUUGGAAACAAACUGAGGAAACAGGGUAAGUGACUCUCCUGCAACCCGUUCCCUUUGUGCCAGAUACACGAAUGUAUCUUCACAUGCUCAGUUGUGGGAAAUGAUUGUGUGUGAAACCCGUCCUUCACCUAGAUUGUUGUGAAACAAAGUUUCUUUUCAGUUGCUUACUACAAUACAUACAAAUAUAAUGGGCGGUACUAGCUCCAACUUGGGUUUGCACUGAAAAAUGUAGCAACAUAAAACCAGCACUAAGAAACAGACUGAGAAAUCAGAG
Vicugna pacos (alpaca) is the source of this 572-nucleotide non-coding RNA. NCBI's taxonomy places the organism in Eukaryota, Metazoa, Chordata, Mammalia, Artiodactyla, Camelidae. The record is from RefSeq and is a predicted model, not a curated record.